RNAcentral lists this ribosomal RNA (253 nucleotides) under uncultured bacterium. Its description in RNAcentral is "partial 16S ribosomal RNA". It matches the Rfam family "Bacterial small subunit ribosomal RNA", at positions 524 to 776 of the family's 1533-position model. The record is from RNAcentral.
UACGAGAGGCCCAAACGUUAUUCGGAUUUACUGGGCUUAAAGAGUUCGUAGGCGGCACGGACAGUGGGGUGUGAAAUCCCUCGGCUUAACCGAGGAACUGCGCUCCAAACUAUCGUGCUAGAGGGGGAUAGAGGUAAGCGGAACUGAUGGUGGAGCGGUGAAAUGCGUUGAUAUCAUCAGGAACACCGGAGGCGAAGGCGGCUUACUGGGUCCUUUCUGACGCUGAGGAACGAAAGCUAGGGGAGCAAACGGG